Molecule: unclassified non-coding RNA, 323 nt
Filed under: soil metagenome
Description: partial contains 5.8S ribosomal RNA, internal transcribed spacer 2, and large subunit ribosomal RNA
Rfam family: 5.8S ribosomal RNA (bases 1-120)
Source: RNAcentral
GAUGAAGAACGUAGCGAAAUGCGAUAAGUAAUGCGAAUUGCAGAAUUCAGUGAGUCAUCGAAUCUUUGAACGCACAUUGCGCCCUGUGGUAUUCCGCAGGGCAUGCCUGUUCGAGCGUCAUUUCAACCCUCAAGCUCUGCUUGGUGUUGGGCCCUGCCCGCUGCGGCCGGCCCUAAAGACAGUGGCGGUGCCGCCUGGCCCUGAGCAUAGUACAUCUCUCGCUCCAGUGCCCGGUGGUAGCCUGCCAGAACCCCAACUCUCGUGGUUGACCUCGGAUCAGGUAGGGAUACCCGCUGAACUUAAGCAUAUCAAUAAGCGGAGGA